AACGAACGCUGGCGGCAUGCCUAAUACAUGCAAGUCGAACGAGAUCUUCGGAUCUAGUGGCGCACGGGUGCGUAACGCGUGGGAAUCUGCCCUUGGGUUCGGAAUAACUUCUGGAAACGGAAGCUAAUACCGGAUGAUGACGUAAGUCCAAAGAUUUAUCGCCCAAGGAUGAGCCCGCGUAGGAUUAGCUAGUUGGUGGGGUAAAGGCCCACCAAGGCGACGAUCCUUAGCUGGUCUGAGAGGAUGAUCAGCCACACUGGGACUGAGACACGGCCCAGACUCCUACGGGAGGCAGCAGUAGGGAAUAUUGGACCAUGGGCGAAAGCCUGAUCCAGCAAUGCCGCGUGAGUGAUGAAGGCCUUAGGGUUGUAAAGCUCUUUUACCCGGGAUGAUAAUGACAGUACCGGGAGAACAAGCUCCGGCUAACUCCGUG
This 433-nucleotide ribosomal RNA is filed under the name uncultured bacterium. Its description in RNAcentral is "partial 16S ribosomal RNA". It matches the Rfam family "Bacterial small subunit ribosomal RNA", at positions 29 to 507 of the family's 1533-position model. The record is from RNAcentral.